Monopterus albus (swamp eel) is the source of this 304-nucleotide long non-coding RNA. RefSeq lists it as uncharacterized. The record is from RefSeq and is a predicted model, not a curated record. The transcript has 3 exons. NCBI's taxonomy places the organism in Eukaryota, Metazoa, Chordata, Actinopteri, Synbranchiformes, Synbranchidae.
UUGUAACCGGCGGGUUGGCCACGCCUACACCGCCUGGUUAGUAAUUUGGCAGAAUAAUCAUGGAUAUAAAUAACACCUGGGGAGAUGCUGUUGUGAUAAGCAAUUUCUGUGCUGGUCGCUGCCGUAACCGGUCUGAAGUGAAUCUCCCUCCAUCGAGCUGUGUCCUGCUUCUCCUUUAAGACUGUUUUUAGGAGAUUGCCGCAUGCUCUCCAGGAGCGAUAAUUGAUGCAAGCGUGAUCCAGCAGAAGUUGGUGUCCAUCGCACAUGCUGUGCUAGGGUGACGUGCAGCCAAGGGGUGAUAGCC